Long non-coding RNA from Oncorhynchus tshawytscha (Chinook salmon), 839 nucleotides. The record is from Ensembl. Lineage: Eukaryota; Metazoa; Chordata; Actinopteri; Salmoniformes; Salmonidae.
CAGGAAGGGGAGGGGAGGUACAUAAUGAUAUGUAAAACAGACUUGUCUGGGCAGGAAGGGGAGGGGAGGUACAUAAUGAUAUGUAAAACAGACUUGUCUGGGCAGGAAGGGGAGGGGAGGUACGUAAUGAUAUGUAAAACAGACUUGUCUGGGCAGGAAGGGGAGGUGCGUAAUGAUAUGUAAAACAGACUUGUCUGGGCAGGAAGGGGAGGGGAGGUACAUAAUGAUAUGUAAAACAGACUUGUCUGGGCAUGAAGGGGAGGUACAUAAUGACAGGUAAAACAGACUUGUCUAGGCAGGAAGGGGAGGGUAGGUACGUAAUGAUAUGUAAAACAGACUUGUCUGGGCAGGAAGGGUAGGUACAUAAUGAUAUGUAAAACAGACUUGUCUGGGCAGGAAGGGGAGGUACGUAAUGAUAUGUAAAACAGACUUGUCUGGGCAGGAAGGGGAGGUACAUAAUGAUAUGUAAAACAGACUUGUCUGGGCAGGAAGGGGAGGUACAUAAUGAUAUGUAAAACAGACUUGUCUGGGCAGGAAGGGGAGGUACAUAAUGAUAUGUAAAACAGACUUGUCUGGGCAGGAAGGGGAGGUACAUAAUGAUAUGUAAAACAGACUUGUCUGGGCAGGAAGGGGAGGUACAUAAUGAUAUGUAAAACAGACUUGUCUGGGCAGGAAGGGGACAUAAUGAUAUGUAAAACAGACUUGUCUGGGCAGGAAGGAGGAGGUACAUAAUGGUAAAACAGACAUAAUGAUAUGUAAAACAGACUUGUCUGGGCAGGAAGGGGAGGGGAGGUACAUAAUGAUAUGUAAAACAGACUUGUCUGGGCAGGAAGGGGGAG